Molecule: ribosomal RNA, 459 nt
Filed under: uncultured bacterium
Lineage: Bacteria
Description: partial 16S ribosomal RNA
Rfam family: Bacterial small subunit ribosomal RNA
Source: RNAcentral
CCUACGGGUGGCAGCAGUGAGGAAUAUUGGUCAAUGGUCGGGAGACUGAACCAGCCAAGCCGCGUGAAGGAGGACGGUACAGAGUAUCGUAAACCUCUUUUGUCAGGGAACAAAGACAGGCACGCGUCCCCGGAUGCGUGUACCUUAAGAAAAAGCAUCGGCUAACCCCGUGCCGGCAGCCGCGGUAAUACGGAGGAUGCGGGCGUUAUCCGGAUUUAUUGGGUUUAAAGGGUGCGAGGGGGGUCGGUUAAGUCAGUGGUAAAAGACAGGGGCUAAACGCCUGACGGCCAUUGAUACUGGCAGUCUUGAGUGGGGGAGAAGUAUGCGGAAUGCGUGGUGUAGCGGUGAAAUGCAUAGAUAUCGCGCAGAACCCCGAUUGCGAAGGCAGCAUACCGGCGCCACACUGACGCUGAGGCACGAAAGCGUGGGUAUCGAACAGGAUUAGAUACCCCGGUAGUC